GACGAACGCUGGCGGCGUGCUUAACACAUGCAAGUCGAACGGAAAGGCCCCUUUGGGGGUACUCGAGUGGCGAACGGGUGAGUAACACGUGAGUAACCUGCCCUUGACUUCGGGAUAACUUCAGGAAACUGGGGCUAAUACCGGAUAGGAAUCCUUGCUGCAUGGUGGGGGUUGGAAAGCUUCGGCGGUUUUGGAUGGACUCGCGGCUUAUCAGCUUGUUGGUGGGGUAGUGGCUUACCAAGGCUUUGACGGGUAGCCGGCCUGAGAGGGCGACCGGCCACAUUGGGACUGAGAUACGGCCCAGACUCCUACGGGAGGCAGCAGUGGGGAAUAUUGCACAAUGGGCGGAAGCCUGAUGCAGCAACGCCGCGUGCGGGAUGACGGCCUUCGGGUUGUAAACCUCUUUCAGCAGGGGCGAAGCUUGUGGUGACGGUACCUGCAGAAGAAGCACCGGCUAACUACGUG
Molecule: ribosomal RNA, 465 nt
Filed under: uncultured bacterium
Lineage: Bacteria
Description: partial 16S ribosomal RNA
Rfam family: Bacterial small subunit ribosomal RNA
Source: RNAcentral